Molecule: ribosomal RNA, 471 nt
Filed under: uncultured Glomus
Lineage: Eukaryota; Fungi; Glomeromycota; Glomeromycetes; Glomerales; Glomeraceae
Description: SSU rRNA
Rfam family: Eukaryotic small subunit ribosomal RNA
Source: RNAcentral
CUCCAAUAGCGUAUAUUAAAGUUGUUGCAGUUAAAAAGCUCGUAGUUGAAUUUCGGGGUUAGUAGGUUGGUCAUGCCUCUGGUAUGUACUGGUCUCACUGAUUCCUCCUUCCUGAUGAGCCGUAAUGCCAUUAAUUUGGUGUUGCGGGGAAUUUGGACUGUUACUUUGAAAAAAUUAGAGUGUUUAAAGCAAGCUAACGCUUGAAUACAUUAGCAUGGAAUAAUGAAAUAGGACGUUCGAUCCUAUUUUGUUGGUUUCUAGGAUUGACGUAAUGAUUAAUAGGGAUAGUUGGGGGCAUUAGUAUUCAAUUGUCAGAGGUGAAAUUCUUGGAUUUAUUGAAGACUAACUACUGCGAAAGCAUUUGCCAAGGAUGUUUUCAUUAAUCAAGAACGAAAGUUAGGGGAUCGAAGACGAUCAGAUACCGUCGUAGUCUUAACCAUAAACUAUGCCGACUAGGGAUCGGAUGAUGUU